GUACGUAACUUCAUAUGUCCCCACUUCCUCAAACUAGAACCUGAAUGAUAUCCAGGCACAGAUGCAAUUAGCCUGACCGAUGCGCUACUGUAAUCAAAUUUCUUGAAGAAUGAGGAGUUGAUCUUGCAGCUUCCGAAGGCUGGUAUAUUAACAGUAAAUUCUGGCCACUUUAACGCGCUUAGAUAAUCAACCAAAUCAUUUUCAAGG
This 207-nucleotide unclassified non-coding RNA is filed under the name Hevea brasiliensis (rubber tree). The record is from RNAcentral. Lineage: Eukaryota; Viridiplantae; Streptophyta; Magnoliopsida; Malpighiales; Euphorbiaceae.